GCUUCGAUCAGGGAAAGUCCCAUAAGAAUUAGUGAUAGUGCAGUUGGUGUUUUUCGAAAAGCAUUUGAUGGGAUCCUCGGGAGGGGUACAACUCACUAUAAUGAGAAACAGGAAGAGAAAAGUCGAUCGGAAAACUUGUCGAAAUGUAACCAUGUUGGCAUAUGAGGGUGGGUUGUGAUGGGUUCAAUUUGUAGUUUGUAUUGAUGAGAGAGCGGU
Molecule: unclassified non-coding RNA, 216 nt
Filed under: Hevea brasiliensis (rubber tree)
Lineage: Eukaryota; Viridiplantae; Streptophyta; Magnoliopsida; Malpighiales; Euphorbiaceae
Source: RNAcentral